Molecule: ribosomal RNA, 468 nt
Filed under: uncultured bacterium
Lineage: Bacteria
Description: partial 16S ribosomal RNA
Rfam family: Bacterial small subunit ribosomal RNA
Source: RNAcentral
GACGAACGCUGGCGGCGUGCUUAACACAUGCAAGUCGAACGGAAAGGCCCUGCUUUUGUGGGGUGCUCGUGUGGCGAACGGGUGAGUAACACGUGAGUAACCUGCCCUUGACUUUGGGAUAACUUCAGGAAACUGGGGCUAAUACCGGAUAGGAGCUCCUGCUGCAUGGUGGGGGUUGGAAAGUUUCGGCGGUUGGGGAUGGACUCGCGGCUUAUCAGCUUGUUGGUGGGGUAGUGGCUUACCAAGGCUUUGACGGGUAGCCGGCCUGAGAGGGUGACCGGCCACAUGGGGACUGAGGGAGGGCCCAGACUCCUACGGGAGGCAGCAGUGGGGAAUAUUGCACAAUGGGCGGAAGCCUGAUGCAGCAACGCCGCGUGCGGGAUGACGGCCUUCGGGUGGGAAACCGCUUUCGCCUGUGACGAAGCGUGAGUGACGGUAAUGGGUAAAGAAGCACCGGCUAACUACGUG